This 557-nucleotide ribosomal RNA is filed under the name Peptostreptococcus stomatis. RNAcentral's name for it is "bacterial SSU rRNA". It matches the Rfam family "Bacterial small subunit ribosomal RNA", at positions 379 to 954 of the family's 1533-position model. Lineage: Bacteria; Bacillati; Bacillota; Clostridia; Peptostreptococcales; Peptostreptococcaceae. The record is from RNAcentral.
AAGCCUGAUGCAGCAACGCCGCGUGAACGAUGAAGGUCUUCGGAUCGUAAAGUUCUGUUGCAGGGGAAGAUAAUGACGGUACCCUGUGAGGAAGCCCCGGCUAACUACGUGCCAGCAGCCGCGGUAAUACGUAGGGGGCUAGCGUUAUCCGGAUUUACUGGGCGUAAAGGGUGCGUAGGUGGUCCUUCAAGUCGGUGGUUAAAGGCUACGGCUCAACCGUAGUAAGCCGCCGAAACUGGAGGACUUGAGUGCAGGAGAGGAAAGUGGAAUUCCCAGUGUAGCGGUGAAAUGCGUAGAUAUUGGGAGGAACACCAGUAGCGAAGGCGGCUUUCUGGACUGCAACUGACACUGAGGCACGAAAGCGUGGGUAGCAAACAGGAUUAGAUACCCUGGUAGUCCACGCUGUAAACGAUGAGUACUAGGUGUCGGGGGUUACCCCCCUCGGUGCCGCAGCUAAGCGCAUUAAGUACUCCGCCUGGGGAGUACGCACGCCAGUGUGAAACUCAAAGGAAUUGACGGGGACCCGCACAAGUAGCGGAGCAUGUGGUUGAAUUCGA